Long non-coding RNA from Salvia miltiorrhiza (redroot sage), 689 nucleotides. RefSeq lists it as uncharacterized. The record is from RefSeq and is a predicted model, not a curated record. NCBI's taxonomy places the organism in Eukaryota, Viridiplantae, Streptophyta, Magnoliopsida, Lamiales, Lamiaceae. The transcript is spliced from 2 exons.
GCUCAUCCCUCAUGCUAUCGUGAUCCUUCCGUGGCACCACUGCUACAGUUCCUCAGUCUGCAGGUGUUCCUCACGUCGUCGCUAAUUCUUUCCUUGCGCCGUUCACCGCCCGUCAUUCAAUCUACAAGUGAAUUUUUUUCCUAGCGCCGUCGUCCCAAAGUCUGCAGGUGUCCCUCAUAUCGUCGUCGAUUCUUUCCCGACGCCAUCGCCGCUCGUCCCUCAGUCUGCAGGAGAAGCAUGGUUGAUCGGGGAAGAGGGAUCCGCUGCUUUUCUCCGCGUGGCGCGCAUAUAACAGAAAAUAGCCACCAAAAAGGUAGUGGCCAGACCGCCGACAAUCACUCCGCCGCCGGCGACCGACUUAUCGGCGGAGCGUCGGCGGUGGUUGGUUUUCAUCUCCUCUUCUUGUCCAACAGGUGCAGUUUCCUCGCCGGUGGCGCUCACUUCCGUUGAAGCAUCGCUGCUUUCGUCGGCUCUUGGCGCCUCAGGCUCAGCCGAGCUCAGCCGUGAAGCCACGUGCUUGUCGUCUACUACAUUUUGCUUUCCAACUUUUCUCGGCGCCGCAGUCGGUGCUUCCGACAUUGCUAAAAUUAAAUGGCUUUUCGUUAAGACCAAACACAUGAACAAAACAACAAACUUAACCAUUUUUUUAUAUGUGAUGUGACAAUUUCUAGUUUCUUGAAUGAACUUAA